This 501-nucleotide ribosomal RNA is filed under the name Kinetoplastida sp. LDR2000. Its description in RNAcentral is "partial 24S ribosomal RNA". Lineage: Eukaryota; Euglenozoa; Kinetoplastea. The record is from RNAcentral.
UUUCGGGUCCAAACAGGCACACUCAAUCUCAACCUCCAUGGAGGCCGGACGGUGUUGGGCAUUCAUUUGUGUGCACACCAUUGGGCUUGCGCCCUCCCUUUCAGUACGAGAGAUGGUACUUAUGUAAAAUCCUCUCCCUUGCGCGUCUGUUUGACUCCUUGGUCCGUGUUUCAAGACGGGUGGAGGCACCCCAUUUCCAGCGUCAAGUUUUGAGCAUCACAGGAAAGAUGCGGCUCGCGAAACCAGUGGGGUUUUAAUCCAAAAGCUCCGACUUCCACACCUUUACUCCCGCUCGCUUUACCGGAACCCCUAUUCUGCACUUGUUGCCUACGUAGCCACUACGUGUCGUACUUAGGAUAAUGCUUAGGUGGUCGGCCUUGACCGAAAUGAAAUGGAGGUACGUCCAUUGUCGUUGUCACGACUUCAGGUUCUAUGUCACUCUCUUUCCAAAGUGCUUUUCAAACUUUCGCUCACGCUACUUGUUCGCUAUCGGUCUUCCUA